This 757-nucleotide non-coding RNA is filed under the name Andrena minutula. Lineage: Eukaryota; Metazoa; Arthropoda; Insecta; Hymenoptera; Andrenidae. The record is from RNAcentral.
CAGUUAAUUGAUUAGUUGGAUUAAUUGAUCUGUAAAUUUAGUUUUAAAAUGAUUAUAUUUAAAUGGUAAUUAUUUUUGUAAAGAUUUAAUUUAAAAAUGAAUGAAAGUUUGAUUUAGUUAUUAAAUUAAAUAAAGGUAGAUUUAGUGCCAGCAACAGCGGUUAUACUUAAUUUAUGAAUUAAUUUGUUUAAUUUUUGAAUUGAUGUUUGUUAUGAAGAAUGUUUAAUAAGAUUAAUUUAAUUUUGGUGAAAUAUUUUCUUUUAAUAAGUUAGACUUUGUUUAACUAAUAUUUGUUAACUUUUUAAUUAAACUAGGAUUAGAUACCCUAUUAUAGAAAUAAAUUUGAUUGAAUUGAUUAUUAAAUGUUGAUCAUUAAAAUUAAUAAAUAUGGCGGCUUUAUAAUUUAUUUAGAGGAAUUUGUGUGAUAAUUGAUGAGCCACAAUAGGAUAUACUAUAAUAAUUAUUAAUCUUUGUGUAUUGCUGUUUGAAGAGUUUAUUUAAAUAUUAUUCUUGUAUAAUUAAAUAAAAUAAUAAUUCAAGUCAAAAUGUAGGUUAUUAUAGACUAUAUGAAUUACAAUGAAUUAGAUUAUUGGAGGAAUUAUUUUAAUAUAAUUUUGAAAUUGGAUUUAAAAGUAAAGUUAUUGAAUUAAAUUUAUUGAAGAUAAUUUUAUUUAGUGUACAAAUUGCCCGUCAUUCUCAUUAUAAGUGAGGAAAGUCGUAACAUAGUAAAUGUACUGGAAAGUGUAUUUUGUGAAAA